AGUGCUCGGCACAAGGACUUGCUGUGCCAACGAAAAGGAAGCGAGGCAUUUUGGCUAGUCACCGCGUUUUUGCUGCGUCACAGGGAGACAGAAGAUGGGCUGCUAUUUCGUCGGCUAAAUGCUAUCAUUUUAAGCACCGUUCCAAAGAAAACAGGGAUCUUGCCAGAGGAAAAUAACAUAUACCAUAAAGGAAAAAGAAAUGUGCAUCAAGGCAAAUAAACAGCUCUCUACUAAGGGCCUAGGAUCUUGCUAGACGAGUCAUUUCUCUGGUUGAAAAGCAGUUGAGAAAGGCAAGACAAGGGGGGCGGGGGCCCAGCAGGGCACCUCUGAGCCCUUCCUGCUGCUCUUCAAAGACAGACGCAUUUUCCUUUCUACGGUCUCCUUGCAAGUCUUCUGUAGGCCCUGCCACCUUCAGGCUGACUGACUGCCUCCUUCAAAUAUCAGCAUUUGCUCAGCAGAGCUUUGUGCUGGUGGACAGAUGGAUGUGCUGGAAGGAGACCCCUGCUGACCCCUGCUGACUCCAUGACAGAGGGAUGGAAAUUCUGCCCCUCCCAGACCUCACCCUAUGCGUUCUGUUUCCUUUAUAAUGAAAGCACAAUUAGAGGUAACUGAGUUCUGUGAGUCAUUCCAGUGAGUUAUCCAUUCUGAGCAUGUUGUGGGAACUCCAGAAUUUGUAGCCAAGGUCCCCCGGGACUUGUGGCUUGCAUCUGAAGUGGGGGUAGUCUUUUGGAGACUUUUGUCCUUAACCUGUGGGGUCUGAGCUGCCUCUGCUAGACAGUGUCAGAAGUGAAUUGCAGGAUACCCAGUUGGUGUCUGGCCAGUGGGGUUGAAAUGGAAUCCAUGCAGUUGGGGGCGAAGGUGCAAGAGUGAUCAUGAUGGUGCUUAAGAGAGGAGCAAGGAAGGGUACUGGGGAGUCGACACCCUCAUGUCUGUGAGCUGACUGCAGGACGUCUCCUGUCCAGGUGCUGGCACCUCAUCUAACAUUUGAAGGUAAAAGCAGCUCUGGCCUCCUGCAGGUGCAAGGACCCGGGAGCCGCUCUGUGGGCUGGGCUCAACCCAGGUGUUGGCCCAGGCUCGGCCCAGGCUGGCCAUUCCGGAUGAUUCUCCUACUUCCUCCUCGGAGUCCUCAAGUAUCACUGUCCCCUUGCACUCCCUGUCUUUGAAUCUUACUUUCCAUCCUCCACCUCCUCCGGCCGCAGUGCACCAAGCUGGAAGCAGCACCCUGCAGCCGGGCUGGACCACUCUGGAGAGCAGUGAGCCCAGCAGAGCCCCCCUAGGGAUCUUCAGCCCCAGCUAUGAGUCUCAGAAGCCAUGCCCCAGGGCUGUGGUUUCACAGGUGCAGGUCCAACCCUCCUUUCUCUGCCUUGUGGCUGCCUGUCCUGGGGCAGGUUACGUUGCCCCUGGGAGCCUCUGUUUUCUGUAAAAUGGUCCCAGUAAUGGCAUGCAAACUCCUGAGCGCUGUAAGGAUGGACAGAGACAGCAUGGCGCAGUCAGUCCCUGUUACUACGGAACCCAUUGUCAUGAAUUCUGCUGCUUUGCAGGCUCAGAAGAAAAGCCACGUCUGCCUACACAAUCUCACAAUCCGGCUUCAGCAAAGCAUGAGUUAAUUCAACUUCAUACUCGUGAACGUGAAGCGGGGGUUGGAAGGAAUGAAGGCUGCAGGACACCCAUGUACCAAGAAAAAGAAAGACAAAUUGGUUGUUUUAUCUACUUUACAUCAUGAUGGAGUCCUAAAAAGUAAACAAAUUUACACA
Homo sapiens (human) is the source of this 1754-nucleotide long non-coding RNA. The record is from Ensembl. NCBI's taxonomy places the organism in Eukaryota, Metazoa, Chordata, Mammalia, Primates, Hominidae.